CAAUAAGCGGAGGAAAAGAAACCAACCGGGAUUACCUCAGUAACGGCGAGUGAAGCGGUAACAGCUCAAAUUUGAAAUCUGGCUCCUGCGGAGUCCGAGUUGUAAUUUGUAGAAGAUGCUUUGGGAGGUAGGCUCGGCCUAAGUUCCUUGGAACAGGACAUCAGAGAGGGUGAGAAUCCCGUAUGUGGCCGUGGCCUACGCCCGUGUAAAGCUCUUUCGACGAGUCGAGUUGUUUGGGAAUGCAGCUCAAAAUGGGUGGUAAAUUUCAUCUAAAGCUAAAUAUUGGCCAGAGACCGAUAGCGCACAAGUAGAGUGAUCGAAAGAUGAAAAGCACUUUGGAAAGAGAGUUAAACAGUACGUGAAAUUGUUGAAAGGGAAGCGCUUGCACCCAGACUUGGGCGUCGUCGAUCAUCCGAGGUUCUCCUCGGUGCACUCGGCGAGGCACAGGCCAGCAUCGGUUUGGAUGGUUGGAGAAAGGCUCUAGGAACGUAGCUCUCUUCGGGGAGUGUUAUAGCCUAGGGCGUAAUGCAGCCCAUCUGGACCGAGGACCGCGCCUUCGGGCUAGGAUGCUGGCGUAAUGGUUGCAAGCGAC
Molecule: ribosomal RNA, 592 nt
Filed under: Golovinomyces orontii
Lineage: Eukaryota; Fungi; Ascomycota; Leotiomycetes; Helotiales; Erysiphaceae
Description: partial large subunit ribosomal RNA
Rfam family: Eukaryotic large subunit ribosomal RNA
Source: RNAcentral